RNAcentral lists this ribosomal RNA (216 nucleotides) under Glomeromycotina sp. RNAcentral's name for it is "partial small subunit ribosomal RNA". The stretch from base 40 to 216 matches the Rfam family "Eukaryotic small subunit ribosomal RNA", at positions 686 to 864 of the family's 1831-position model. Lineage: Eukaryota; Fungi; Glomeromycota. The record is from RNAcentral.
GGGUCAGGAGGUUGGUCGUGCCACCGGUACGUACUGGUCUCACUGAUUCCUCCUUCCUGAAGAACCGUAAUGCCAUUAAUUUGGUGUUGCGGGGAAACAGGACUGUUACUUUGAAAAAAUUAGAGUGUUUAAAGCAAGCUAACGCUUGAAUACAUUAGCAUGGAAUAAUGGAAUAGGACGAUCGAUCCUAUUUUGUUGGUUUCUAGGAUUGACGUA